AGGGUUCGAUUAUGGCUCAGAACGUACGCUGGCGGCACGCCUAACACAUGCAAGUCGAACGAAGUAGCAAUACUUAGUGGCAGACGGGUGAGUAACAUGUAGGUAUCUACCCUUUGGCCUGGAAUAACACGAGGAAACUUGUGCUAAUACCGGAUAAGUCUUUACGGAGAAAGCUUUAUGCACCAUUGGAUGAGCCUGCACUUGAUUAGUUUGUUGGUGGGGUAAUGGCCUACCAAGACUGUGAUCAAUAGCUGAUUUGAGAGGAUGAUCAGCCACAUUGGGACUGAGACACGGCCCAAACUCCUACGGGAGGCAGCAGUGGGGAAUCUUGCACAACGGAGGAAACUCUGAUGCAGCGAUGCCGCGUGAGUGAAGAAGGCCCUUGGGUUGUAAAGCUCUUUCGUCGGGGAAGGAAAUGACUGUACCCGAAUAAGAAGGUCCGGCUAACUUCGUGCCAGCAGCCGCGGUAAUACGAAGGGACCUAGCGUAGUUCGGAAUUACUGGGCUUAAAGAGUUCGUAGGUGGUUGAAAAAGUUAGUGGUGAAAUCCCAGAGCUUAACUCUGGAACUGCCAUUAAAACUUUUCAGCUAGAGUAUGAUAGAGGAAAGCAGAAUUUCUAGUGUAGAGGUGAAAUUCGUAGAUAUAGAAAGAAUACCAAUUGCGAAGGCAGCUUUCUGGAUCAUUACUGACACUGAGGAACGAAAGCAUGGGUAGCGAAGAGGAUUAGAUACCCUCGUAGUCCAUGCCGUAAACGAUGUGUGUUAGACGUUGGAAAUUUAUUUUCAGUGUCGCAGCGAAAGCGAUAAACACACCGCCUGGGGAGUACGACCGCAAGGUUAAAACUCAAAUGAAUUGACGGGGACCCGCACAAGUAGUGGAGCAUGUGGUUUAAUUCGAAGAUACGCGCAGAACCUUACCAACACUUGACAUGUUCGUCGCGACUCUAAGGGAUUAGAGUUUUCGGUUCGGCCGGACGAAACACAGGUGCUGCAUGGCUGUCGUCAGCUCGUGUCGUGAGAUGUUGGGUUAAGUCCCGCAACGAGCGCAACCCUCACUUUUAGUUGCCAUCAUUAAGUUGGGCACUCUGAAAGAACUGCCAGUGAUAAGCUGGAGGAAGGUGGGGAUGACGUCAAGUCCUCAUGGCCCUUACGUGCUGGGCUACACAUGUGCUACAAUGGUAUCUACAACAGGAAGCAAGACUGCGAGGUCAAGCAAAUCCUUAAAAGAUACCUCAGUUCGGAUUGCACUCUGCAACUCGAGUGCAUGAAGCUGGAAUUACUAGUAAUCGUGGAUCAGCGUGCCACGGUGAAUGCGUUCCCGGGUCUUGUACACACCGCCCGUCACACCAUGGGAGUUGGUUCUACCUUAAGGCAAGGUUUAAAACCCUUGACCACGGUAUAGUCAGCGACCGGGGUGAAGUCGUAACAAGGUAACCAAGGG
RNAcentral lists this ribosomal RNA (1440 nucleotides) under uncultured Candidatus Pelagibacter sp. RNAcentral's name for it is "bacterial SSU rRNA". It matches the Rfam family "Bacterial small subunit ribosomal RNA". The record is from RNAcentral. Lineage: Bacteria; Pseudomonadati; Pseudomonadota; Alphaproteobacteria; Candidatus Pelagibacterales; Candidatus Pelagibacteraceae.